UACGGGGGGAGCAAGCGUUGUUCGGAUUUACUGGGCGUAAAGGGCGCGUAGGCGGUCAGCACAAGUCAGUUGUGAAAUCUCCGGGCUUAACUCGGAAAGGUCAACUGAUACUGUGCGACUAGAGUGCAGAAGGGGCAACUGGAAUUCUCGGUGUAGCGGUGAAAUGCGUAGAUAUCGAGAGGAACACCUGCGGCGAAGGCGGGUUGCUGGGCUGACACUGACGCUGAUGAGCGAAAGCCAGGGGAGCAAACGGG
Molecule: ribosomal RNA, 254 nt
Filed under: uncultured bacterium
Lineage: Bacteria
Description: partial 16S ribosomal RNA
Rfam family: Bacterial small subunit ribosomal RNA
Source: RNAcentral